GAUGAACGCUAGCGGGAGGCUUAACACAUGCAAGUCGAGGGGCAGCAUAGGGUAGCAAUACUCUGAUGGCGACCGGCAAACGGGUGAGUAACGCGUAUGUAACCUACCCUGUACAGGGGGAUAACCCGGAGAAAUUCGGACUAAUAUCCCAUAACAAUAUCCGGGGGCAUCUUUGGAUAUUUAAAGUUCCGGCGGUACGGGAUGGGCAUGCGUAACAUUAGCUAGUUGGUAAGGUAACGGCUUACCAAGGCUUUGAUGUUUAGGGGUCCUGAGAGGGUGGUCCCCCACACUGGUACUGAGACACGGACCAGACUCCUACGGGAGGCAGCAGUGAGGAAUAUUGGUCAAUGGGCGCAAGCCUGAACCAGCCAUCCCGCGUGCAGGAAGACGGCGCUAUGCGUUGUAAACUGCUUUUCCAGGGAGAGAAACUUGCGCACGUGUUGCGCAAUUGACGGUACCUGGGAAUAAGCAUCGGCUAACUCCGUGCCAGCAGCCGCGGUAAACUGUCUACG
Molecule: ribosomal RNA, 512 nt
Filed under: uncultured bacterium
Lineage: Bacteria
Description: bacterial SSU rRNA
Rfam family: Bacterial small subunit ribosomal RNA
Source: RNAcentral